AACUAACGCUGGCGGCAUGCCUAACACAUGCAAGUCGAACGAGAUCUUCGGGUCUAGUGGCGCACGGGUGCGUAACGCGUGGGAAUCUGCCCUUUGGUUCGGAAUAACAGUUGGAAACGACUGCUAAUACCGGAUGAUGACGAAAGUCCAAAGAUUUAUCGCCAGAGGAUGAGCCCGCGUAGGAUUAGCUAGUUGGUGUGGUAAAGGCGCACCAAGGCGACGAUCCUUAGCUGGUCUGAGAGGAUGAUCUGCCACACUGGGACUGAGACACGGCCCAGACUCCUACGGGAGGCAGCAGUGGGGAAUAUUGGACAAUGGGCGAAAGCCUGAUCCAGCAAUGCCGCGUGAGUGAUGAAGGCCUUAGGGUUGUAAAGCUCUUUUACCCGGGAUGAUAAUGACAGUACCGGGAGAAUAAGCUCCGGCUAACUCCGUGCCAGCAGCCGCGGUAA
RNAcentral lists this ribosomal RNA (449 nucleotides) under uncultured bacterium. RNAcentral's name for it is "partial 16S ribosomal RNA". It matches the Rfam family "Bacterial small subunit ribosomal RNA", at positions 29 to 523 of the family's 1533-position model. The record is from RNAcentral.